Molecule: ribosomal RNA, 93 nt
Organism: Phytophthora infestans T30-4
Lineage: Eukaryota; Oomycota; Peronosporomycetes; Peronosporales; Peronosporaceae
Product: 5.8S ribosomal RNA
Exons: 1
Source: RefSeq, a predicted model, not a curated record
CGAUACGUAAUGCGAAUUGCAGGAUUCAGUGAGUCAUCGAAAUUUUGAACGCAUAUUGCACUUCCGGGUUAGUCCUGGAAGUAUGCCUGUAUC